UACAGAGGGUGCAAGCGUUAAUCGGAAUUACUGGGCGUAAAGCGCGCGUAGGUGGUUUGGUAAGUCGGUUGUGAUAUCCCCGGGCUUAACCUGGGAAUUGCAGUCGAUACUGCCUGACUCGAGUGUGGGAGAGGGAAGCGGAAUUUCCGGUGUAGCGGUGAAAUGCGUAGAUAUCGGAAGGAACACCAGUGGCGAAGGCGGCUUCCUGGCCCAACACUGACACUGAGGCGCGAAAGCGUGGGGAGCGAACAGG
Molecule: ribosomal RNA, 253 nt
Filed under: uncultured bacterium
Lineage: Bacteria
Description: partial 16S ribosomal RNA
Rfam family: Bacterial small subunit ribosomal RNA
Source: RNAcentral